GCACUUACCGAAGACUAUCAAACUCCGAAUGCCGUUUUCUUUUACUUGGGAGUCAGACUAUGGGUGAUAAGAUUCAUAGUCAAAAGGGCAACAGCCCAGAUCGUCAGCUAAGGUCCCUAAAUGUACGUUAAGUGGUAAAGGAUGUGGGAUUGCACAGACAACCAGGAUGUUGGCUUAGAAGCAGCCACUCAUUUAAAGAGUGCGUAAUAGCUCACUGGUCGAGUGAUCCUGCGCCGAAAAUUUCCGGGGCUAAAACGUACUACCGAAGCUACGGCAUCAUUUAUGAUGGGUAGGAGAGCUUCCCAUACGGGUUGAAGCAUGACCGAAAGGACAUGUGGACUGUAUGGGAGUGAGAAUGUUGGCAUGAGUAGCGAGAUGUGGGUGAGAAUCCCACAGGCCGUAAACCCAAGGUUUCCAGGGGAAGGUUCGUCCGCCCUGGGUUAGUCAGGACCUAAGCCGAGGCCGAAAGGCGUAGGUGAUGGACAACAGGUUGAUAUUCCUGUACCACCAAUAACCGUUUGAGAAAUGGGAUGACACAGUAGGAUAAGCUAACCGCACUGUUGGUUAUGUGCGGGCAAGUAUUGAGGCAGUUCCGAUAGGCAAAUCCGUCGGAAUAAUGCUGGGGUACGAUGCGGAGCGAAAUUUAGUAGCGAAGUAGCUGAUUUCACACUGUCGAGAAAAGUCUCUAUCGAGGUUAAAGGUGCCUGUACCGCAAACCGACACAGGUGGGUGAGGAGAGUAUCCUAAGGCCAGCGAGAGAACUGUUGUUAAGGAACUCGGCAAAAUGACCCCGUAACUUAGGGAGAAGGGGUGCCUUCGAAAGAAGGCCGCAGAGAAUAGGCCCAAGCGACUGUUUACCAAAAACAUAGGUUUCUGCUAAGUCGCAAGACGAUGUAUAGGAGCUGACGCCUGCCCGGUGCUGGAAGGUUAAGGGGAUCUGUUAGAGCAAUCGAAGCAGUGAACUUAAGCCCCAGUAAACGGCGGCCGUAACUAUAACGGUCCUAAGGUAGCGAAAUUCCUUGUCGGGUAAGUUCCGACCCGCACGAAAGGCGUAACGAUUUGGGCACUGUCUCAACAACAGACUCGGUGAAAUUGUAAUACCGGUGAAGAUGCCGGUUACCUGCGACAGGACGGAAAGACCCCAUGGAGCUUUACUGUAGCUUGACAUUGAGUCUCGGUGCUACAUGUACAGGAUAGGUGGGAGACUAUGAAGCAUGGACGUCAGUCUGUGUGGAGUCAUCCUUGGGAUACCACCCUUGUAGUACUGGGAUUCUAACCAGAGGCCAUGAAUCUGGUCUUGGGACACUGUCAGGUGGACAGUUUGACUGGGGCGGUCGCCUCCCAAAAAGUAACGGAGGCGCUCAAAGGUUCUCUCAGUACGGUCGGAAAUCGUACGAAGAGUGUAAAGGCAAAAGAGAGCUUGAUUGCAAGACAUACAGGUCGAGCAAGGACGAAAGUCGGACUUAGUGAUCCGGUGGUUCCGCAUGGAAGGGCCAUCGCUCA
Molecule: ribosomal RNA, 1503 nt
Filed under: human gut metagenome
Description: bacterial LSU rRNA
Rfam family: Bacterial large subunit ribosomal RNA
Source: RNAcentral